RNAcentral lists this unclassified non-coding RNA (85 nucleotides) under Chryseobacterium contaminans. RNAcentral describes it as "Flavo-1 RNA". The record is from RNAcentral. Lineage: Bacteria; Pseudomonadati; Bacteroidota; Flavobacteriia; Flavobacteriales; Weeksellaceae.
CUUAUUACCCGAUAGUAACGGUUACCCCACAGCAAGCAUGGUAAAGUUUUGGCGCGAGGAGUAUAAGUGGAUAGCGGGACGAAGC